RNAcentral lists this ribosomal RNA (375 nucleotides) under uncultured organism. RNAcentral's name for it is "partial 16S ribosomal RNA". It matches the Rfam family "Bacterial small subunit ribosomal RNA", at positions 527 to 896 of the family's 1533-position model. The record is from RNAcentral.
GUAGGUGGCAAGCGUUGUCCGGAACUAUUGGGCGUAAAGCGCGCGCAGGCGGUCCUUUAAGUCUGAUGUGAAAGCCCACGGCUCAACCGUGGAGGGUCAUUGGAAACUGGGGGACUUGAGUACAGAAGAGGAAAGCGGAAUUCCAAGUGUAGCGGUGAAAUGCGUAGAGAUUUGGAGGAACACCAGUGGCGAAGGCGGCUUUCUGGUCUGUAACUGACGCUGAGGCGCGAAAGCGUGGGGAGCAAACAGGAUUAGAUACCCUGGUAGUCCACGCCGUAAACGAUGAGUGCUAAGUGUUAGGGGGUUUCCCGCCCCCCUUAGUGCUGCAGCUAACGCAUUAAGCACUCCGCCGUGGGGAGUACGGCCGCAAGGCUG